This 475-nucleotide ribosomal RNA is filed under the name uncultured organism. Its description in RNAcentral is "partial 16S ribosomal RNA". It matches the Rfam family "Bacterial small subunit ribosomal RNA", at positions 333 to 799 of the family's 1533-position model. The record is from RNAcentral.
ACACUCCUGCGGGAGGCAGCAGUGGGGAAUUUUGGACAAUGGGCGAAAGCCUGAUCCAGCAAUGCCGCGUGAGUGAAGAAGGCCUUCGGGUUGUAAAGCUCUUUUGUCAGGGAAGAAACGGUGAGAGCUAAUAUCUUUUGCUAAUGACGGUACCUGAAGAAUAAGCACCGGCUAACUACGUGCCAGCAGCCGCGGUAAUACGUAGGGUGCAAGCGUUAAUCGGAAUUACUGGGCGUAAAGCGUGCGCAGGCGGUUUUGUAAGUCUGAUGUGAAAUCCCCGGGCUCAACCUGGGAAUUGCAUUGGAGACUGCAAGGCUAGAAUCUGGCAGAGGGGGGUAGAAUUCCACGUGUAGCAGUGAAAUGCGUAGAUAUGUGGAGGAACACCGAUGGCGAAGGCAGCCCCCUGGGUCAAGAUUGACGCUCAUGCACGAAAGCGUGGGGAGCAAACAGGAUUAGAAACCCGGGUAGUCCCAUG